AGGACGACCAGCCACACUGGGGCUGAGACACGGCCCAGACACCUACGGGUAGCAGCAGUCGAGAAUUUUUUUCAAUGGGGGAAACCCUGAAGGAGCGACGCCGCGUGGGGGAUGAAGGACUUCGGUUCGUAAACCCCUGUCACCUGGGAACAAACGUUUCAACCCAAUACGUUGAAAUUUGAUAGUACCAGGAGAGGAAGGCACGGCUAACUCUGUGCCAGCAGCCGCGGUAAUACAGAGGUGCCAAGCGUUGUUCGGAUUUAUUGGGCGUAAAGGGUGCGUAGGUGGCGGCGCAAGUCGGAUGUGAAAUCCCGGAGCCUAACUCCGGAAUUGCAUUCGAAACUGCGCUGCUCGAGGCCUGGAGAGGUGACAGGAAUUCUCGGUGUAGCAGCGAAAUGCGUAGAUAUCGAGAGGAACACCAGAGGCGAAAGCGAGUCACUGGACAGAGCCUGACACUGAGGCACGAAAGCCAGGGGAGCAAACCGGAUUAGAUACCCGGGUAGUCCUGGCCGUAAACGGUGCGCAUUUGAGGUGGGGGGAUUCGACCCCCUCCGUCUCGAAGCUAACGCGUUAAAUGCGCCGCCUGGGGAGUACGGUCGCAAGAUUAAAACUCAAAGAAAUUGACGGGGGCCCGCACAAGCGGUGGAGCAUGUGGCUUAAUUCGAUGCAACGCGAAGAACCUUACCUGGCCUUGACAUGUGCGUAGUAGAACCAUGAAAGUGGAACGAGGCAGCAAUGCCAGCGCACACAGGUGCUGCAUGGCUGUCGUCAGCUCGUGCCGUGAGGUGUUCGGUUAAGUCCGGUAACGAGCGCAACCCCUAUGGCCUGUUGCCACUCUCAGCAAUGAGAAGCACUCCGGCCAGACUGCCCUGCAUAACGGGGAGGAAGGUGGGGAUGACGUCAAGUCAGUAUGGUCCUUACGGCCAGGGCUGCACACGUGCUACAAUGCCCGGCACAGAGGGACGCUAACCCGCGAGGGGGAGCCAAUCCCAGAAAACCGGGCUCAGUUCAGAUUGAAGGCUGCAACUCGCCUUCAUGAAGCUGGAAUCGCUAGUAAUGGCGCAUCAGCUACGGCGCCGUGAAUACGUUCCCGGGCCUUGUACACACCGCCCGUCACACCAUGGAAGCCGGGGGAGCCCGAAGUCGGCGCGCCAACCGCAAGGAGGCAGCCGCCUAAGGCUAAACCGGUGACUGGGGUGAAGUCGGAACAAGGUA
This 1215-nucleotide ribosomal RNA is filed under the name metagenome. RNAcentral describes it as "bacterial SSU rRNA". It matches the Rfam family "Bacterial small subunit ribosomal RNA", at positions 297 to 1498 of the family's 1533-position model. The record is from RNAcentral.